RNAcentral lists this ribosomal RNA (254 nucleotides) under uncultured bacterium. RNAcentral describes it as "partial 16S ribosomal RNA". It matches the Rfam family "Bacterial small subunit ribosomal RNA", at positions 524 to 776 of the family's 1533-position model. The record is from RNAcentral.
CACGUAGGGUGCGAGCGUUGUCCGGAAUUAUUGGGCGUAAAGAGCUCGUAGGCGGUGUGUCGCGUCGGCCGUGAAAACCUGCAGCUUAACUGUGGGCUUGCGGUCGAUACGGGCAUCACUGGAGUUCGGCAGGGGAGACUGGAAUUCCUGGUGUAGCGGUGAAAUGCGCAGAUAUCAGGAGGAACACCGGUGGCGAAGGCAGCUCUCUGGGACGGUACUGACGCUGAGACGCGAAAGCGUGGGGAGCGAACAGG